GAUGAACGCUAGCGGAAGGCUUAAUACAUGCAAGUCGAGCGGUAGGUGGCUUCGGCCAUUGAGAGCGGCGCACGGGUGAGUAACGCGUACAUGACCUGCCUGUCAGAAGGGGAUAGCCCUGGGAAACUGGGAUUAAUACCCUAUGGUAUUGAUAUUAUGAAUGAUAUCAAUUAAAGUUGAGGCGCUGACAGAUGGAUGUGCGUCUGAUUAGCUAGUUGGUAGGGUAACGGCCUACCAAGGCGACGAUCAGUAGGGGGCGUGAGAGCGUGGUCCCCCACACGGGUACUGAGACACGGACCCGACUCCUACGGGAGGCAGCAGUAAGGAAUAUUGGACAAUGCCCGCAAGGGUGAUCCAGCCAUUCCGCGUGCAGGAAGACUGCCCUAAUGGGUUGUAAACUGCUUUUAUUAGGGAAGAAACCCCCUUGACGAGAUUGAGGGUUGACGGUACCUGAUGAAUAAGCACCGGCUAACUCCGUGCCAGCAGCCGCGGUAAU
Molecule: ribosomal RNA, 496 nt
Filed under: uncultured bacterium
Lineage: Bacteria
Description: partial 16S ribosomal RNA
Rfam family: Bacterial small subunit ribosomal RNA
Source: RNAcentral